AUUGAACGCUGGCGGCAUGCCUUACACAUGCAAGUCGAACGGUAACAGCACUUCGGUGGCUGACGAGUGGCGAACGGGUGAGUAAUACAUCGGAACGUGCCCGAGAGUGGGGGAUAACGCAGCGAAAGCUGUGCUAAUACCGCAUACGAUCUACGGAUGAAAGCAGGGGAUUCGCAAGGACCUUGCGCUCAUGGAGCGGCCGAUGGCAGAUUAGGUAGUUGGUGGGAUAAAAGCUUACCAAGCCGACGAUCUGUAGCUGGUCUGAGAGGACGACCAGCCACACUGGGACUGAGACACGGCCCAGACUCCUACGGGAGGCAGCAGUGGGGAAUUUUGGACAAUGGGCGAAAGCCUGAUCCAGCCAUGCCGCGUGCAGGAUGAAGGCCUUCGG
Molecule: ribosomal RNA, 391 nt
Filed under: uncultured bacterium
Lineage: Bacteria
Description: bacterial SSU rRNA
Rfam family: Bacterial small subunit ribosomal RNA
Source: RNAcentral